RNAcentral lists this ribosomal RNA (433 nucleotides) under uncultured bacterium. RNAcentral describes it as "partial 16S ribosomal RNA". It matches the Rfam family "Bacterial small subunit ribosomal RNA", at positions 29 to 507 of the family's 1533-position model. The record is from RNAcentral.
AGCGAACGCUGGCGGCAGGCCUAACACAUGCAAGUCGAACGAACUCUUCGGAGUUAGUGGCGGACGGGUGAGUAACACGUGGGAACGUGCCUUUAGGUUCGGAAUAACUCAGGGAAACUUGUGCUAAUACCGAAUGUGCCCUUCGGGGGAAAGAUUUAUCGCCUUUAGAGCGGCCCGCGUCUGAUUAGCUAGUUGGUGAGGUAAAGGCUCACCAAGGCGACGAUCAGUAGCUGGUCUAAGAGGAUGAUCAGCCACAUUGGGACUGAGACACGGCCCAAACUCCUACGGGAGGCAGCAGUGGGGAAUCUUGCGCAAUGGGCGAAAGCCUGACGCAGCCAUGCCGCGUGAAUGAUGAAGGUCUUAGGAUUGUAAAAUUCUUUCACCGGGGACGAUAAUGACGGUACCCGGAGAAGAAGCCCCGGCUAACUUCGUG